Cydia pomonella (codling moth) is the source of this 303-nucleotide long non-coding RNA. RefSeq lists it as uncharacterized. Lineage: Eukaryota; Metazoa; Arthropoda; Insecta; Lepidoptera; Tortricidae. The record is from RefSeq and is a predicted model, not a curated record. The transcript is spliced from 2 exons.
ACGUGCCCAUGCCCUACACGCGCAGCCUCGAGCUGCUCGCGCUGCCCCGCCCCGACAGCGUCGUGGGCGCCGUGUCCGCCGUGCUGCAGAACAAAAUAUCUCAAGCAGCCAGCCAGUAAUCGGGUAAUCUCGACCAUACUCCACUGCGGCUUUUAUUGUAAAUAAUUAUAUUUUAUUAUUUAUUUUUUACUUAUUUUCAAAAUGUGGCGUUCACUGCCUCCUGCAAUCUGAGAUGUAUCUGAGCAAUGUAUGAACUGUGAAUGGAGAAUUUAGAUAAUGUUAUUAAAGAAAUCUGUUAGGAAA